RNAcentral lists this ribosomal RNA (253 nucleotides) under uncultured bacterium. Its description in RNAcentral is "partial 16S ribosomal RNA". It matches the Rfam family "Bacterial small subunit ribosomal RNA", at positions 524 to 776 of the family's 1533-position model. The record is from RNAcentral.
UACGUAGGGUGCAAGCGUUAAUCGGAAUUACUGGGCGUAAAGCGUGCGCAGGCGGUUUUGUAAGACAGAGGCGAAAUCCCCGGGCUCAACCUGGGAACUGCCUUUGUGACUGCAAGGCUUGAGUGCGGCAGAGGGGGAUGGAAUUCCGCGUGUAGCAGUGAAAUGCGUAGAUAUGCGGAGGAACACCGAUGGCGAAGGCAAUCCCCUGGGCCUGCACUGACGCUCAUGCACGAAAGCGUGGGGAGCAAACAGG